UACGAAGGGGGCUAGCGUUGCUCGGAAUCACUGGGCGUAAAGCGCACGUAGGCGGAUUGCUAAGUCAGGGGUGAAAUCCUGGAGCUCAACUCCAGAACUGCCUUUGAUACUGGCAAUCUCGAGUCCGGGAGAGGUGAGUGGAACUGCGAGUGUAGAGGUGAAAUUCGUAGAUAUUCGCAAGAACACCAGUGGCGAAGGCGGCUCACUGGUCCGGUACUGACGCUGAGGUGCGAAAGCGUGGGGAGCAAACAGG
This 253-nucleotide ribosomal RNA is filed under the name uncultured bacterium. RNAcentral's name for it is "partial 16S ribosomal RNA". It matches the Rfam family "Bacterial small subunit ribosomal RNA", at positions 524 to 776 of the family's 1533-position model. The record is from RNAcentral.